This 185-nucleotide ribosomal RNA is filed under the name uncultured bacterium. RNAcentral's name for it is "partial 16S ribosomal RNA". It matches the Rfam family "Bacterial small subunit ribosomal RNA", at positions 1314 to 1500 of the family's 1533-position model. The record is from RNAcentral.
GCCUGCAUGAAGUCGGAAUUGCUAGUAAUCGCGGAUCAGCAUGCCGCGGUGAAUACGUUCCCGGGCCUUGUACACACCGCCCGUCACACCAUGGGAGUCGGUAACACCCGAAGUCUGUAGCCUGACGCAAGAGGGCGCAGCCGAAGGUGGGAUUGAUGACUGGGGUGAAGUCGUAACAAGGUACC